UCAAACGGAAGGUGGUUGUUGUCCGAGCCGAAGCAGGUUUGAAAGUGGGGGUCGGGCUCGGCUGUCGUUGUCUGUCGCCGCGGCCCCGCUUCCGGGCUAGGCUGUUCGUACCCGCCCCCGCCCCGCCUCCCUUCGGACCCCUCCGUCCCAGGCCUGACUCCCUGCCCGAUUCGCGCCCCGCCCGCCGCAGCUCGCUGCCGUCCCGGCCCGCACUGCGGCCCCGCCGCCGCCACUAUGUCCCUGCACGGCAAACGGAAGGAGAUCUACAAGUAUGAAGCGCCCUGGACCGUCUACGCCAUGAACUGGAGCGUGCGGCCCGACAAGCGCUUUCGCCUGGCGCUGGGCAGCUUCGUGGAGGAGUACAACAACAAGGUUCAGCUUGUUGGUUUAGAUGAAGAGAGUUCGGAGUUUAUUUGCCGAAACACGUUUGACCAUCCGUACCCCACCACAAAGCUCAUGUGGAUCCCGGACACAAAAGGCGUCUAUCCAGACCUGCUGGCGACCAGUGGUGACUAUCUCCGUGUGUGGAGGGUUGGUGAAACAGAGACCAGGCUGGAAUGUUUGCUAAACAAUAACAAGAAUUCGGAUUUCUGUGCUCCUCUGACCUCCUUUGACUGGAAUGAGGUGGAUCCUUAUCUUUUAGGUACCUCCAGCAUUGACACGACUUGUACCAUCUGGGGGCUGGAGACAGGGCAGGUGCUGGGGCGAGUGAAUCUUGUGUCUGGCCAUGUGAAGACCCAGCUGAUCGCCCAUGACAAAGAGGUCUAUGAUAUCGCGUUUAGCCGGGCCGGUGGCGGCAGGGACAUGUUUGCCUCUGUGGGUGCUGACGGCUCUGUGCGGAUGUUUGACCUCCGUCAUCUUGAACACAGCACCAUCAUCUACGAGGACCCUCAGCAUCACCCACUGCUUCGCCUCUGCUGGAACAAACAGGACCCCAACUACCUGGCCACCAUGGCCAUGGAUGGAAUGGAGGUAGUGAUUCUGGACGUCCGAGUUCCAUGCACACCUGUUGCCAGGUUAAACAACCACCGAGCAUGUGUCAAUGGCAUUGCCUGGGCCCCUCAUUCGUCCUGCCACAUCUGUACUGCAGCGGAUGACCAUCAGGCUCUCAUCUGGGAUAUCCAGCAGAUGCCCCGGGCCAUCGAGGACCCUAUCCUGGCCUACACAGCCGAGGGCGAGAUCAACAACGUGCAGUGGGCGUCGACUCAGCCUGACUGGAUUGCCAUCUGCUACAACAACUGCCUGGAGAUCCUCAGAGUGUAGUGUCGGUGGCGCCGUGCCCGCCAGGCAGGGGCUUGUGUGUUUCCCGCCUCUGUCCCACCCCCAAAUAGGCUAUGUCCCGUCUUCUGUUUCGGGGGCUGUUUGGCUGGCCAUCUGCUUGAGGUCAACUCUCUUGAAUUAACUGACGAUGGAAAGCCAGCAGUGCUUGGUGAGCGCCUUCCUCUGUUGGGUUUAAUGAUUCCAGGGUCCUUCCCUCAAGGGUAGCAAGUCUAAAUUGAGUGUCACUUGCUGUAGGAGGCUGUCAGUUCCUUCCUGUGGAAAGGGGUCUGAAAUGGAGCUCUAGUGGUAGGGGGACUGGUCCCGCUGGGACUUCACUACACUGAGUUCUGAGUUAAGAUGUGUUUCCUGCUGUGCAUUUCCUGGUCUGAAUGGUGAGAAGAUUUGCCAGCUGGAACCUGAAAACAACCUGGAGAGAAAAUUUAGUUAAUAGUAUUUGAGAUGCAAUUGGAUAAAUUCGCUCUUUACUCUCAAAACCAACAAGUUUUUUUUUGUUUUGUUUUGUUUUUUUUGCCCCUUGCUCUAUGGACUCCCAGCCCUGUCACCCUCCUUAGGCCUUGUACUGUGGUCUUCUUCCUCCUGACAUCCUACCUGGGCCCAGGUGAGAGUCCCAGUCUCUCUAAGCAGACACAUGCACACACACACACACACACACACACACACACACACUCAGUUGCAGGAAUGCUAGUAUUUUGAGGCCCUGGCUCUCUUAACCUCCCUCUGUGCCACCGGCCAGAUGGCCUCAUGGCUGAGGAGGGGAUUUCUGUAGUCUCAGGAUUUAGAAAGCCCCUUAGUCAGCCAGGCUCCAGGAAGCAGAAAUCUAUUGUAGUUUCAGAAGCAAGUGUUUGUUUGAUUUAGUUAGGCUCUCAGAUUGACAGCCAGCGACAAUAGGUGGGAGGCUCUGUGUCUGUGCUCCUUGCACACGAGAAGAGCAGCUGCCAGGGCCGCGCUGGAAAGGCCAGCAGCGCCUCCGUGGUCUGGCCCUUGGCCGCGCUCUUGGCCCCUGAGCGGCAGCUGCCUUUGUUUUCCUGUCUGCUGGAGGGGGUCCUGAGUAAGGGCAGUGCUGCUCCCACCGCAGAGAGCUAGUGAAUGGCUCCAGGUCCUUCACGAGCUUGGGUGUUUAUAUUCAGGAGAGUUGGAAGCCUCUCUUGCCAGGGAGGGGCCAGGCUGUGAGGUGAGGACUGGAAGAGGGACAGUGUCUGAUAACCAGGUCUUCAGAUUUGGGGAGAAACAGAGAAAAUUGAGGCUCUGACAAGUGUUGAUGAUAGGUGUGGCUGAAAUUUUAGGAGGAGAUUUAGGACGUGGGAGAAAGUCAGUGGUAACAAAGGAGAAAAGAUUAGAGGUGGGGAGGCAUUCAGACUGGCAUGUGGCCGUGAGUGAGACUGGGCCCUUGGCCUGUGUCAGCCUUCCUGGACCAUUCAUCGGUGUCUGUGCCGCGAGGUGGCUGGGGACAGGAUGACCAGAGGGACCCCUUCCUGCGGCAGUUCAGUCCUGGUGUCCUUUGCUGGUAGGGAUCUGGAGGUGUUUAGGCUCCCAUGAUGGUUCCAGACCGCGGCUCCUCUUGGUAGUAGGUGGUCAACAGUCGGGCUGACUUUUUCCGCUCUCCCUUUUCCCUUUUCUCUUCCGCUUACCUUCCCGCUCCCUCCCACUCCCGAACUCUCUCCCUGCUGCCACCUAGAGCUGUCAGGUGUGCAGUGUCUGCCAACCAUGGGAGGGCCAGCCCAGUGCUGUCCCUGCACCGCCCCUCUGCCUGCCUGGCCUGGGCUGAGGGUGGCCGCGAAAGUAGACGCCCCAGAGCAGACCCUGCUCUUUACGGUCUGCGUUCCAGCCUGAGGGAGGAGCGUCAUGCCUGGCGCUUAAAUUGGGUUUUCCCUGUGGGGAGAGCUGCUCUGAGCAGUCACUGUGCUCCCUGGGCCAGGCUCCCCAAGACCUGUCCUCCCCACACUGGCUGGGCCAGCUACGCAGAGUGUUGCAGGGCCUUGCCCUCUCUUCCCACCGUCAUCAUUGCUGCUAAUGGUCAAAGUCAAGUGUACGGCCGCGUGGGAUGGGCCAGGUCCUCUCAGGCUCCUUUCUGGAUGUGAUGUUUUAAGUAUGGAAAAUGCAGGUGCCUUCCCAAGAGGCUUGGACUGGUGUGUGAAACCAGAAACAGAUAAGCUAAUCAGAGUAUGAACUCAAGAGGAAGGAUGUUGGCGGUCUGUGUGACAGCUGGACGACUGACAAGGACCCGCCUUCGGGACGACCCAGCGCAUAAGAACUUGUGAUAUCCGCUAUUUCGAAGAAAUGUUCUCACCUUGGCUUGGUUGUGAUAAUGCAGUGUGUUAUGAAGCUUGUGGAGCUAAAGCUCUGACUUGCUUGAAUUGAAUAUGAAUCAUUUGACAUGGUUCCUGUGUAUUUGAUGACCCCUCCGUCAGUGACUUUCCAUCCCUCCUCCCGGGCGUGAAUUUGUAGCAUGAUUGUACAAAUCUCUAUGUAGAAAAUGGAGGUUUCUUGUUCUCUGAAGUGUUAGGCUCUAGCCAAUCAUCUCUGUCCCAUUUAGCCUAGUGUGUCUGAACUUAAUUUCUUGUUCUAUAUUUGAACUUCUCCUUACGUUACAGGCUUUGUGGCAUCCGACGGUCAGGUGGAGAGGAAGCUACCCCUUGCAGAACUGUACUGUAACCAUUUUUUAAAAAAAAACAAAACAUUAUUUUCACAGGACUGAUUAUACACAGGGCUUGUAAAAAAAAUUUUUUUAACACUGUGCUGUGAAACCGCGAUGGUAAAUCUCCAUUGAAGGCCACUUCAGAGGUGCCUGAAAGUGGAGUGUUAUUAUCUAUGACUUGACUUCUUGCUUUCUGAGUAUAUUAAACCUAAUUUUCACCCUUUCAUUCUGUUUCAGCCUCCUGUAUAAGAAGUACCGUAUUUUCUGCCCAUCAUACUUUGUAAUAAAACUUGAACAUGUA
Phacochoerus africanus (Common warthog) is the source of this 4217-nucleotide RNA transcript. It is a transcript of the gene named DDB1 and CUL4 associated factor 7, with no coding region annotated. The transcript has 8 exons. NCBI's taxonomy places the organism in Eukaryota, Metazoa, Chordata, Mammalia, Artiodactyla, Suidae. The record is from RefSeq and is a predicted model, not a curated record.